RNAcentral lists this ribosomal RNA (301 nucleotides) under uncultured bacterium. Its description in RNAcentral is "partial 16S ribosomal RNA". It matches the Rfam family "Bacterial small subunit ribosomal RNA", at positions 509 to 807 of the family's 1533-position model. The record is from RNAcentral.
CAGUAGCCGCGGUAAUACGGAGGGUGCAAGCGUUAAUCGGAAUUACUGGGCGUAAAGCGUGCGUAGGCGGUUCGUUAAGUCUGUUGUGAAAGCCCCGGGCUCAACCUGGGAAUGGCAAUGGAUACUGGCGAGCUAGAGUGUGUCAGAGGAUGGUGGAAUUCCCGGUGUAGCGGUGAAAUGCGUAGAGAUCGGGAGGAACAUCAGUGGCGAAGGCGGCCAUCUGGGACAACACUGACGCUGAGGCACGAAAGCGUGGGGAGCAAACAGGAUUAGAUACCCGAGUAGUCCCUGUCUCUUAUAC